Long non-coding RNA from Physcomitrium patens, 2181 nucleotides. RefSeq lists it as uncharacterized. NCBI's taxonomy places the organism in Eukaryota, Viridiplantae, Streptophyta, Bryopsida, Funariales, Funariaceae. The record is from RefSeq and is a predicted model, not a curated record.
CUUCUGCAGCUCCGCGCCCUCGAUUAGUCCCAUUUGAGGAGCCUUGCUCUGCGCCUCCGGACGCUGGAGGAGGCGCUCAUGUGCUGGGAGUCAAAGGGCCUGAGGCGGGGUGCUGCUGCAGUGAAGAGAGUGGUGACGUCAUCGGUGACAGCAGCGAGUGUUUGAAAGAGGGUUAGCGACAUUGAGAGCUGUUCAGACUAUGAGAAAGUGUGUGGAAGAGGAUUUGGUGACUUGAACUGGUGCUUCAAGGAAAGCCUAAAGUCCAAGUUCCACUCUUGCUCUCACAGUCUGCACAGCUCUCUGUAUCUCUUCCCCUAGUAUAUGUCUACAGCUGGUUGACGCAAACGAGGUUUAACAGCUAUAGAUGGCGGUCGAUUCUGCUCGUUUAGUUCGAUUUGGAAAUUGGCAUCCUGACUGAUGACAGAACUAUGACUAGUACCAUGGCUUCUUCUCCUCUCUGUAAAGAGUGCUAUUACUGCGGCAAAAACUCGCGAAGGUGUUCCCUCCAUGUUUCGUGAUACACCGACUUGUUGCAGGCUUAUCGUCUGGCGAAUUUCCGCAACCUUAUUCUUGUCCCCCACCUGCUUGACGAUUACACUACCCUGCUUAUUUCUUUCUGACCCUGUGAGCAUGUGUUUGGGGAGCAAUUUUAUAUUCUUGAAUCACAUCUAGUACCUUGAACCAAAAAUCGGAUAGAUACUGGGUCUGAUUCGUUUUGAACCGAUGAAUUAUUCUGUUUGUUGUGCUAGCCUUACACUUGUUGAUUGAUUUUCCAAGAUUCAUGACCCACCUGCCGUUCUCAACUUUCAGAUUUCUCCACUAAGCUAACGUGCGAAGGUCUUGUGUUCAUUAAAUUCCACAGAGCUCUCGGACUUUGUGUAUUCUGCUGCGGAAGUUAUGAGCAGAUUUGAAAUUACUUUUGGUACGUGGGUUGUAGAGGUCAGUGGAGACUAUUUGUAGCCUCUAAGUGUGCUAGAGAGAAGAGACUGUGAGUUAGUGGUUCUUCAUCAUAUGUUCUCGUAGCCUUAAUCAUCUGAUGAUAAUCCUUGUUGUCAUUCAAAUGAUCUCUACGAUUCGUCACUCUUCAGAAGGUAGCAGACAACUGGCUGAAACCGGUUCAUUCUGACACUGUCAUGUAUGUACUCUCAAGGAGAUUUUUAUUUCUUACAUGCAUGCGAUAGAGUAAUGAGGUUUGGAGGUGGCUAAUGCAGUGAUAGUGUCGUCUAUUAUGUUUUAAUUGCGAUCCCCACCUAUAUGCAGGAUCACAUCACUAGUGACCACUUGUGUGCCUUCAUCCUUAUAUUUAUAUUUGCUUAGCAGUUUUGCAAAACUGAGUGACCGUCGUUACUAGUGCCCCAUGAAACGCAGGUCCACUUCUCGAGAGCACCGUUGGUGUGGUUUUCUUGUACAGACGAUGAACUGGAAGCGAGGAAAAUUGAGAGCGUGCGAUUUAGGCUGUGAUACUUCCUAGCAUUCCAAGCUUGAUCUGGCUAGCAUGAUGCCCUUUUGCUGUGAAAUACAGCACAGUGCAGCAAUCAUCGAGAUAAACUCUCGAUGCACACAAUAAUACAAAACUGUCAUUGCAGAGUUCAUUUUCAGAAAAAUUCCUGCCGAGUGAGCUAAAUAGUUCGGGCAUUUGCAGUCCUUACACGAGAAAAUCUAGUAGCUGAUCCACAAACUAAAAUAGAAGAUGAUAUUCUCAAACCAGUGAUACAGGAGUAGUAUUUAUUAAGUGGCAACCGAGUUUCCUUGUUUAACAAAAAAACCUCUACUUGCCAAAAACUGUCGAUCAGUCUUGACCUUUCAUGCCACCAUGUAAGAUCAAAUCCACUUUACUCAAAUGAGUGUAUCUUUGAGGGUUUCUCUAGUCAAGAGCAUAAGAUCGAAGUCUCUUUACCCAAGUGAGUGUAGCUUUGAGGGUUUCUCUAGUCAAGAUCACAAGAAUAGCUAAAUUUUUAAUAUUAUUCUAGUAUGAGUGAUUUAAGCAGAAAAUAGUCACUCGUUUUUCGACCGAAGAGUUGUAUUGUACUUCUGUGAUCUGUAGGAUAAGACAGAUUCGUAAAAGUUAUAGUAUACGUUUGCGACUGGAAAUGUCAUGAGCGGAGAUAUUGCACAAGUUUCUCCUUGCAAGAUAUCCUUCAGUAAACGAGGCAACAGCCUCAGAUAUUUAAGACUCGUAAA